UUUGAGUGUCAAUUGUAAUCUCACUUCUCGACAUUUGUUUGUUGUGGAAUGUGGACUUUGGAUGUUGCCGUGUCAUUACGGCUCGUCUUAAAUGCCUGAGUGUACCUUGCUUUUGCAGUGUAUCCGGUGUAAUAAACAUUUCACCAGAGCCAGGUCGCAAGACCGCAUUGUCUAGUAAGCUCUAUGCUUUCAAACCGUCUUCGGACAAACUUCUGACAAUUUGACCUCAAAUCGGGUGGGACUACCCGCUGAACUUAAGCAUAUCAAUAAGCGGAGGAAAAGAAACUAACAAGGAUUCCCCUAGUAACGGCGAGUGAAGAGGGAAAAGCUCAAAUUUUGAAUCUGGUGUCUUUGACUCCCGAGUUGUAAUCUAGAGAAGUGUUUUCCGUGUCGGACCGUGUACAAGUCUCCUGGAACGGGGCGUCAUAGAGGGUGAGAAUCCCGUAUAUGCCACGGACUACCGAUGCUCUGUGAUACACUCUCAACGAGUCGAGUUGUUUGGGAAUGCAGCUCAAAAUGGGUGGUAAAUUCCAUCUAAAGCUAAAUAUUGGCGAGAGACCGAUAGCGAACAAGUACCGUGAGGGAAAGAUGAAAAGCACUUUGGAAAGAGAGUGAAACAGUACGUGAAAUUGUUGAAAGGGAAGCGUUUGAAGUCAGUCACGUUUGUUGGGGUUCAGCCUGGCUUUUGCCUGGUGUAUUUCCUUUCCAACGGGUCAGCAUCAGUUUCGACCGAGGGAAAAAGACAUUGGGAAUGUGGCUGUCUUCGGGCAGUGUUAUAGCCUGGUGUUGUAUGUCUCGGUUGGGACUGAGGAACGCAGCGCGCCAUAAAUGGCCGGGGGUCGCUCCUCUCGAC
RNAcentral lists this ribosomal RNA (853 nucleotides) under uncultured Sebacinales. Its description in RNAcentral is "eukaryotic LSU rRNA". The stretch from base 222 to 853 matches the Rfam family "Eukaryotic large subunit ribosomal RNA", at positions 1 to 638 of the family's 3401-position model. Lineage: Eukaryota; Fungi; Basidiomycota; Agaricomycetes; Sebacinales. The record is from RNAcentral.